UGUGGGAGCUGGCUUGCCUGCGAUAGCGGUGUGUCAGGCACCUUGAUUGGCCUGAUGCACCGCUAUCGCAGGCAAGCCAGCUCCCACA
RNAcentral lists this unclassified non-coding RNA (88 nucleotides) under Pseudomonas cedrina. Lineage: Bacteria; Pseudomonadati; Pseudomonadota; Gammaproteobacteria; Pseudomonadales; Pseudomonadaceae. The record is from RNAcentral.